Molecule: ribosomal RNA, 391 nt
Filed under: uncultured bacterium
Lineage: Bacteria
Description: partial 16S rRNA
Rfam family: Bacterial small subunit ribosomal RNA
Source: RNAcentral
CUGGGCUCGAAGCGCAGUGGAAUCCGGUAGAAAUAUCGGCGCCCGCAAGGGCCGCUGCGUAGGUGCUGCAUGGCUGUCGUCAGCUCGUGUCGUGAGAUGUUGGGUUAAGUCCCGCAACGAGCGCAACCCUUAUUGCCAGUUGCUAACGUUAAGUCGAGCACUCUGGCGAAACUGCCCCGGAUAACCUGGAGGAAGGCGGGGAUGACGUCAAAUCAUCAUGCCCCUUAUGAUCUGGGCUACACACGUGCUACAAUGGCCACUACAGAGAGAAGCGAGCCCGUAAGGGGGAGCGGAUCUGAGAAAAGUGGUCCCAGUUCAGAUUGUGGGCUGCAACCCGCCCACAUGAAGUCGGAGUUGCUAGUAAUCGCGGAUCAGCAUGCCGCGGUGAAUA